Molecule: long non-coding RNA, 1817 nt
Organism: Sitophilus oryzae (rice weevil)
Lineage: Eukaryota; Metazoa; Arthropoda; Insecta; Coleoptera; Curculionidae
Exons: 2
Source: RefSeq, a predicted model, not a curated record
CCAGGACAUCAGUUGAUUAUUUACUAUGUAGUCCGCCCCUGGCGCGUGUGCUCACACAUGUUUAAAGUAUUUUCUCCUGUCGCUCCUUUCCUCCGCGAUCCGUCUUCAUUCGUUUCUGUGUGCAUGUGCAGUGCGGAAGUGUCGCUUUUUACGCUUGUUUACGAACGCCGAAAUUAAAACACUAGAUAUUAUGGGGAAAACAAAGGGAAAAAGCCGGUCUUCUUCUCGAGAACGCCAUGUUUCACGAAAGGAGCGUUUGAGAAGGCUAGAGAGACUUGAGAAAGAGAGGGCAACAUCACGAGCGAGGUCGCGAUCGCCACGGCGUCAGCGGCGUUCCCCCUCUCAGUCAUCCGGUCGCGCGCGCUCGUUCAGCGGGCGCGUGGGCCGUACUGGCCCAAUAGCCAACACCCUCGGUGGAUUCAAGGUCAAGCAGUCGUCAUCAUCGACGGUCUGGUUCUGGUUAUGACGAUCGCAGUCCGCGCGGCUCGGCGUCUUAUUAUGGUACACCAGAUAGGCGGCGAUUGCCUAGCGUAGACCAUAGUCUGUACGGCGUGGCUACCAAUGCAAUGGAUGUGGAUCGCGGUCCGGGCGGCGCGACAAACAUUCUGAAUGAUAAGAAUAAUUUAAACGAUCAAACGGCUGGCACCCCUCCGUUAAUUAUUCAUAACGACGUCUCCUUGCCGACUGAAGUUAGACCUACUCGGUGAGGAUCCGGAUAAAACUAAGGCUAAUGGGUACACUUUGCACCAGGCCCUUACAGCUAGGUGGUCAAAAAUCUUAACAUCCGGCCUAUCUAAGGAGAAAAAGGAACAAUUGAUGAAUACUAGCUGCGUCCCAGAAAACUGUAAGGCCUUGAUACCUCCCUUGGUCGACAAGGAAAUUUUACCUUGUCUUUCGGCGGCUUAUAUAAAAAGGGAUUCAUGUCAUGCUGAUUUUCAAGACCAGCUGGGCAGGGGCCUGUCCUCAUUGGGCAAAGGUCUUAACGCGGUUUUGGAAGAGGGUCAGAAUAUUUCGCCAACUAUGCGUGAAAAGAUUUUGCCAUUCCUUACGGAAGCUGGACAAAUUUUUUCAAAUUUAUUUUUUUUGACAUUUCUCAGACUAGACGUACCUUAAUUUUACCCAUGUUAAGCAAAUCACUAAAGGAUGUAGUAGAGACUAGGGUUCCAGGGGUGUACUUGUUUGGGAACGAAUUAGCUGAAAAUGUCAAGGAAGCUAAAACAUUGGAAAGAACAGCCAAUGACCUUCGUCCCCAAACGCAGAGUUUUACCUUUUCCGCUUCUGAAAAUGGGGGAGGGGUGGCUACCGGCCGAUCACAGACAUCCAGACCAUACACCAGCCGAGGUGGCUCAUCCGGUCCUUUAAACCGGGGGCGUCCGGUCCGUCCAAGCGGGAAACGAGACCACACAAAGGGCAUGCCCCGACACGGAGGAGUCAAUACCCUCAUCAGAAGCGCUGAUUUCAGAGGCUAAAGUUAUUUUAUAAACAAUGGCAAAAUAUCACCCAAAACCCAUUUUUCUUGUCUUGCAUAAGUGGUUAUGUCAUUCCAUUUAAAUGUACUCCCUCACAGUUUUUGUCUCCGAAAUCAAGGCAUCUUUCUUCAGAGGAACGAAGCCAAAUGGCUAUGGCAAUUGAAGAAUUGCUUAGUAAGGGUGCAGUCAUUAAAUACCAGCCCCAGCCAAUCCAAUUUUUAUCUGGUAUUUUUCUUACCAAUAAAUCUAAUGGUGAAAAACGGUUUAUAUUAAACCUAAAACAACUAAAUCAAUUUAUAACACCUCCUAACUUUAAGAUGGAAGACUAUCGCACAGCCAAAAAAAAAA